RNAcentral lists this transfer RNA (74 nucleotides) under Bacteroidota bacterium. RNAcentral describes it as "tRNA-Thr". It matches the Rfam family "tRNA". From Rfam's summary of the family: Transfer RNA (tRNA) molecules are approximately 80 nucleotides in length. Lineage: Bacteria; Pseudomonadati; Bacteroidota. RNAcentral also lists the same sequence under 2 other names. The record is from RNAcentral.
GCCGAUGUAGCUCAGUUGGUCAGAGCAGCUGAUUUGUAAUCAGCUGGCCGGGGGUUCGAAUCCCUCCAUCGGCU